UGUCAUUGCUCUUUUUCAGUUUCUGGACAUUUCUCUGGCUUCGGUUGCACCGAACUCCUUUAGGUUUUUGAUAGGGUUUCUCUCUCUUUGUCAUGUAGUCGAAGUCCAGCCCACCCUUUCCUUGUUUAGAUACUUCUACACCUUCAAGCGUCAUCCCACGGCGAAGGAUUGGUGGUACUUCUCCCCUCAGUUCGGUAGGAAGGGGUUACUGAAGGGUGCCCCUUCUUCUAUCCAUAACUGGAAGGGGAAGUUUCUUUAUAUUCGAUGCCCGACCUUGAGGCUAGAGUUGCCCCCUUGGGGCUCC
This 304-nucleotide long non-coding RNA is filed under the name Elaeis guineensis (African oil palm). Its description in RNAcentral is "long non-coding RNA (EGUI_LNC080958)". Lineage: Eukaryota; Viridiplantae; Streptophyta; Magnoliopsida; Arecales; Arecaceae. The record is from RNAcentral.